GCGAGUCAUUGUAGCAAUACAAGGCAGACGGCUCAGUAACGCGUAGUCAAUCUACCCUAUGGACGGGAAUAACCUCGGGAAACUGAGAAUAAUGCCCGACAGAACAUUAUACCUGGAACGGUUUAUGUUUCAAAUGAUUUAUCGCCGUAGGAUGGGACUGCGGCCUAUCAGUUUGUUGGUGAGGUAAUGGCCCACCAAGACUAUUACAGGUACGGGCUCUGAGAGGAGUAGCCCGGAGAUGGGUACUGAGACACGGACCCAGGCCCUAUGGGGCGCAGCAGGCGAGAAAACUUUGCAAUGUGCGAAAGCACGACAAGGUUAAUCCGAGUGGUUUCUGCUAAAGAAACCUUUUGCUAGUCCUAGAAACACUAGUGAAUAAGGGGUGGGCAAGUUCUGGUGUCAGCCGCCGCGGUAAAACCAGCACCUCAAGUGGUCAGGAUGAUUAUUGGGCCUAAAGCAUCCGUAGCUCGUUUUGUAAGUUUUCGGUUAAAUCCAUACGCUUAACGUAUGGGCUGCCGGGAAUACUGCAUAACUAGGAAGUGGGAGAGGUAGACGGUACUCGGUAGGAAGGGGUAAAAUCCUUUGAUCUAUUGAUGACCACCUGUGGCGAAGGCGGUCUACCAGAACACGUUCGACGGUGAGGGAUGAAAGCUGGGGGAGCAAACCGGAUUAGAUACCCGGGUAGUCCCAGCUGUAAACUAUGCAAACUCAGUGAUGCAUUGGCUUGUGGCCAAUGCAGUGCUGCAGGGAAGCCGUUAAGUUUGCCGCCUGGGAAGUACGUACGCAAGUAUGAAACUUAAAGGAAUUGGCGGGGGAGCACCACAANGGGUGAAGCCUGCGGG
Molecule: ribosomal RNA, 842 nt
Filed under: uncultured archaeon
Lineage: Archaea
Description: bacterial SSU rRNA
Rfam family: Archaeal small subunit ribosomal RNA
Source: RNAcentral